AUGUAGCUGACGAGUCCAAAAUAGGAUAAAAUUUGAAUCCUGGAU
RNAcentral lists this non-coding RNA (45 nucleotides) under Trichobilharzia regenti. The record is from RNAcentral. Lineage: Eukaryota; Metazoa; Platyhelminthes; Trematoda; Strigeidida; Schistosomatidae.